AUGGCGGAGCUGGUGGUCACCAUGGCGAUCCGCCCACUGGUGGCCAUGCUCAAGGACAAGGCGUCCAGCUACCUUCUCGACCAGUAUAAUGUGAUGGAUGGAAUGGAGAAGCAGCACAGAAUUCUCAAACGCAGGCUUCCUAUCAUCCUCGAUGUCAUCACCGACGCCGAGGAGCAGGCCAUGGCAAACAGAGAAGGGGCGAAAGCAUGGCUCCAGGAGCUCAAGACUGUGGCCUAUGAAGCAAAUGAAGUCUUUGACGAGUUCAAGUAUGAAGCACACCGCCAUGCAGCAAAGAAGAAUGGACACUACAGAAAGCUCGGCUUUGAUGUGAUAAAACUCUUCCCUACUCACAACCGUGUUGUGUUCCGUCAGAGAAUGGGCAGCAAGCUUUGCAGGAUUCUGGAGGAUAUCAAUGUCCUCAUUGCAGAGAUGCAUGACUUUGGGUUGAGACAGACGUGGUCGGUGUCUAAUCAGUUGGGCCAGACACCAGUGUCCAAGGAGUGGAGGCAGACGGAUUAUGUCAUCAUUGACCCACAAGAAAUUGCCAGCAGAUCCAGACACGAAGAUAAGAGCAAUAUCAGUGACAUACUUCUUGGUGAAGCGAGCAAUGCAGAUCUUGUAGUAGUUCCCAUUGUUGGAAUGGGGGGCCUUGGCAAGACCACAUUAGCGCAACUAAUAUAUAAUGAACCUGAAAUUCAGAAGCAUUUCCAGUUGCUGCUUUGGGUAUGUGUCUCUGAUAAUUUUGAUGUGAACUCCCUGGCUAAGAGUAUAGUUGAAGCAUCUCCCAAGAAGAAUGAUGAUACACAUAAACCAGGAUAG
Molecule: ribosomal RNA, 819 nt
Filed under: Triticum aestivum (bread wheat)
Lineage: Eukaryota; Viridiplantae; Streptophyta; Magnoliopsida; Poales; Poaceae
Description: partial small subunit ribosomal RNA
Source: RNAcentral